GGAUAACUACCCUUAGGACCGGGAUAACUUUGGGAAACUGAGGAUAAUACCGGAUAGGCAAUUUUUCCUGCAAUGGUUCUUUGUUUAAAUGUUUUUUCGCCUAAGGAUGGGUCUGCGGCCGAUUAGGUAGUUGGUUAGGUAAUGGCUUACCAAGCCGUUGAUCGGUACGGGUUGUGAGAGCAAGAGCCCGGAGAUGGAACCUGAGACAAGGUUCCAGGCCCUACGGGGCGCAGCAGGCGCGAAACCUCCACAAUGUGAGAAAUCGCGAUGGGGGGAUCCCAAGUGCCAUUCUUAACGGGAUGGCUUUUCAUUAGUGUAAAAAGCUUUUGGAAUAAGAGCUGGGCAAGACCGGUGCCAGCCGCCGCGGUAACACCGGCAGCUCUAGUGGUAGCAACUUUUAUUGGGCCUAAAGCGUCCGUAGCCGGUUUAAUAAGUCUCUGGUGAAAUCCUGUAGCUUAACUGUGGGAAUUGCUGGAGAUACUAUUAGACUUGAGACCGGGAGAGGUUGGAGGUACUCCCAGGGUAGAGGUGAAAUUCUGUAAUCCUGGGAGGACCGCCUGUUGCGAAGGCGUCUAACUGGAACGGUUCUGACGGUGAGGGACGAAAGUUAGGGGCGCGAACCGGAUUAGAUACCCGGGUAGUCCUAACUGUAAACGAUGCGGACUUGGUGUUGGGGUGGCUUUGAGCUGUCCCAGUGCCGAAGGGAAGCUGUUAAGUCCGCCGCCUGGGAAGUACGGUCGCAAGACUGAAACUUAA
Molecule: ribosomal RNA, 756 nt
Filed under: uncultured archaeon
Lineage: Archaea
Description: bacterial SSU rRNA
Rfam family: Archaeal small subunit ribosomal RNA
Source: RNAcentral